AAGGUCUUCGGAUUGUAAAGCCCUGUUUUCUAGGGACGAUAAUGACGGUACUAGAGGAGGAAGCCACGGCUAACUACGUGCCAGCAGCCGCGGUAAUACGUAGGUGGCGAGCGUUGUCCGGAUUUACUGGGCGUAAAGGGUGCGUAGGCGGAUGUUUAAGUGGGAUGUGAAAUCCCCGGGCUUAACCUGGGGGCUGCAUUCCAAACUGGAUAUCUAGAGUGCAGGAGAGGAAAGCGGAAUUCCUAGUGUAGCGGUGAAAUGCGUAGAGAUUAGGAAGAACACCAGUGGCGAAGGCGGCUUUCUGGACUGUAACUGACGCUGAGGCACGAAAGCGUGGGUAGCAAACAGGAUUAGAUACCCUGGUAGUCCACGCCGUAAACGAUGGAUACUAGGUGUAGGGGGUAUCAACUCCCCCUGUGCCGCAGUUAACACAAUAAGUAUCCCGCCUGGGGGAGUACGGUCGCAAGAUUAAAACUCAAAGGAAUUGACGGGGGCCCGCACAAGCAGCGGAGCAUGUGGUUUAAUUCGAAGCAACGCGAAGAACCUUACCUGGACUUGACAUCCCUUGCAUAGCCUAGAGAUAGGUGAAGCCCUUCGGGGCAAGGAGACAGGUGG
RNAcentral lists this ribosomal RNA (615 nucleotides) under Clostridium botulinum. RNAcentral describes it as "bacterial SSU rRNA". It matches the Rfam family "Bacterial small subunit ribosomal RNA", at positions 411 to 1041 of the family's 1533-position model. The record is from RNAcentral. Lineage: Bacteria; Bacillati; Bacillota; Clostridia; Eubacteriales; Clostridiaceae.